AUAAUAUAUGUUUAUAGUUGUUGC
Molecule: non-coding RNA, 24 nt
Filed under: Arabidopsis thaliana (thale cress)
Lineage: Eukaryota; Viridiplantae; Streptophyta; Magnoliopsida; Brassicales; Brassicaceae
Source: RNAcentral